RNAcentral lists this ribosomal RNA (463 nucleotides) under Diacyclops sp. MM2. Its description in RNAcentral is "partial small subunit ribosomal RNA". Lineage: Eukaryota; Metazoa; Arthropoda; Copepoda; Cyclopoida; Cyclopidae. The record is from RNAcentral.
UUUUGUGCCAGCAGCGGCGGUUAUACUUUUAAAAAAGAGCUCUAUUUUUUAAACUAGAAAAAUAAAAUUUUAAUUUUCUGUUAUAAGAAUUAAAAGACAAAAUUUUAUUGAAAUUUCAAAUUUUAAAUAAGAUAACAAAACUGGAUUAGUACCCAGGUAUGGUGGUAUAUUGAGGUAUUUAAAAUUAAACCUAAACUGUCUGCCAGUUAUUUAUCCCUUUUUAGAGAAUUCUGGUUUAUAAAUUGACACCCCACAAUUUUAUUUACUAAGCUAAAGCUUACGUGUGGUUGUUUGAAAAAUAAACCUCACAUUAAAUUUUAUCCAAAUAACAUGUAGUGUAGAGUAGGAAUAACUGGAAUGCUAUAAAACUUAUUAAUAAUUUUAAGGAUUUAAUAGUAGGUAAGAUUAAUCGAACAAGUUAUAAAUAGGCUCAAUUCCAUCCGUUGAACUCCGGGUUCUGUAU